This 253-nucleotide ribosomal RNA is filed under the name uncultured bacterium. RNAcentral's name for it is "partial 16S ribosomal RNA". It matches the Rfam family "Bacterial small subunit ribosomal RNA", at positions 524 to 776 of the family's 1533-position model. The record is from RNAcentral.
UACGUAGGGUGCGAGCGUUGCCCGGAUUUAUUGGGCGUAAAGGGCGCGUAGGCGGCCACGCACGUCCGUUGUGAAAUCGCCUGGCUCAACUGGGCGGGGUCAGCGGAUACGGUGUGGCUCGAGCAAGCUAGGGGGCAAUGGAAUUCCCGGUGUAGUGGUGGAAUGCGUAGAGAUCGGGAGGAACACCAGUGGCGAAGGCGGCCGGCUGGGGGUGACCUGACGCUGAGGCGCGAGAGCGUGGGGAGCGAACCGG